This 576-nucleotide ribosomal RNA is filed under the name uncultured bacterium. Its description in RNAcentral is "bacterial SSU rRNA". It matches the Rfam family "Bacterial small subunit ribosomal RNA", at positions 102 to 674 of the family's 1533-position model. The record is from RNAcentral.
ACGGGUGAGUAAUACAUCGGAACGUAUCCUGGAGUGGGGGAUAGCCCGGCGAAAGCCGGAUUAAUACCGCAUACGCUCUGAGGAGGAAAGCGGGGGACCUUCGGGCCUCGCGCUCAAGGGGCGGCCGAUGGCGGAUUAGGUAGUUGGUGGGGUAAAGGCCUACCAAGCCGACGAUCCGUAGCUGGUCUGAGAGGACGACCAGCCACACUGGGACUGAGACACGGCCCAGACUCCUACGGGAGGCAGCAGUGGGGAAUUUUGGACAAUGGGGGCAACCCUGAUCCAGCAAUGCCGCGUGUGUGAAGAAGGCCUUCGGGUUGUAAAGCACUUUUGUCCGGAAAGAAAUCAUCGGGGCCAAUACCCCUGGUGGAUGACGGUACCGGAAGAAUAAGCACCGGCUAACUACGUGCCAGCAGCCGCGGUAAUACGUAGGGUGCGAGCGUUAAUCGGAAUUACUGGGCGUAAAGCGUGCGCAGGCGGUGCUGUAAGACCGAUGUGAAAUCUCCGGGCUUAACCUGGGAACUGCAUUGGUGACUGCAGCGCUGGAGUAUGGCAGAGGGGGGUGGAAUUCCACGU